RNAcentral lists this long non-coding RNA (1709 nucleotides) under Sparus aurata (gilthead seabream). RNAcentral's name for it is "lncRNA (ENSSAUG00010002141.1)". The record is from RNAcentral. Lineage: Eukaryota; Metazoa; Chordata; Actinopteri; Spariformes; Sparidae.
CGUGUCAGGAGAUGAUGUUGUGGCUUGCUGCUGUGCAAAUAAAGAUUGAUUGAUUGAUUGAUUGAUUGAAUUAUUUUCCUCUGUUCAGGUUUUCAGAUCAGACUGAGAGACGGAGAAGAUCUGAUCCAGGAGCUGCAGAGAAACACGACAGUGUUCGAGCGGCGGCUGAGCGGCGCCGACCGCCUGCUGCUGGCGCUGCAGACUCAGAGUUCAGCUCAGUUGGAUCAACUCUCCUCCGUUGAGUCCAGACUGACAGACGGACUGAACAGCACCACAGGUUCAGAUUGAUUCCCUUCACAGUUUGUACAACACACUUGAUGAUGAUUAUUGAUAAAUCUGAUAGUUACUGUUUCCUGUUCAGCUCUGCAGCUCCGACUGAGCAUCUGUGAGAAACAGCUGGAACACCUGGAGACAGAGAACACAGGUAACACUGCAGGUGAACAUGUCUCAAACACACGGGUCAGGUUUCUGUGUUUCUGUCUCAUCCUGGUUCUGUUGCAGGUUUUGGCCUCAGGCUGAAUCAGACUGACGAUCGUCUGCAGGAGCUCACAGACACAAACUCAGGUGGGCUGGAGCUGAAGGUGGCGUUCUCAGCCGGUCUGACUGAUUCAGGAUCAGUUGGACCGUUUGACAAGGAGACGACUCUGAUCUUCUCCAAAGUCAUCACCAACGUGGGCGGAGCCUACAACCAGACCGCAGGUGACGUGUACUUCAGCUGGUUGGAUAUAUACGUAGAUAGACGAUGUCAUGUGAUCUCAUCUUUUUUGAUGGACUUCUCCUUUAAACCCUCCCUCCUGUGUGACUGUGUUAACUCCGCCCUGCUCUGUGUCUGUCAGGUGUGUUAACUCCGCCCUGCUCUGUGUCUGUCAGGUGUGUUAACUCCGCCCUGCUCUGUGUCUGUCAGGUGUGUUAACUCCGCCCUGCUCUGUGUCUGUCAGGUGUGUUAACUCCGCCCUGCUCUGUGUCUGUCAGGUGUGUUAAAGGUCUCAUAUUAUGACAAACAGGUUUUCUCUGGUCUCUACAUAUAUAAGCUGGUCCUCGCUGAGCCUGUGGUCCACCCACUGGUAACACGGAGCUCCUACAGGCUGUUCAGAUUCUGCUCCUGUCGUUACGUAACAAAAGGAGUCAUUAUCGUAGCCCCGCCUCCUCUGAGCGGUGAUAGGAGAUAUCCGAGAGAGGGGGCGUUCAUCCCCGAGGUGAAGUUCAGUGUGUCCAGCGGAGAGACAGCGGUGUUUCACGAUGUCGUCGCUCAGAGUUAGACACGCAGUUGCUCUGUUGUUGGUUGUAUAAAUCAACAUCAGUGCCUAUAUUCUGUCCCAGCUACAGAACAACAGAAGAGACUGUGGUUGUGUUUCAUUUUUAAUGACAACGUGCCGGCUGCGGUUCGUGUUAGCUUGUAUGUGUGUGCUAACCUCUUUACAUCUGACUGCUUCAGUAACGAGUGUCAGUACAAAGCUGUCUUUGCCUCGACACUGACCCUCAUAAAAGGAUCAGUCCCAACCAUACCGGACCCAGCAACUGCACCCGAGCCACAGGUAAGUGUCGCCGCGGUUUGAUAGUAUUUACACUUGCCGAUGAGUAACGUUAUGGUGAAGUCAGCUGGAAACUAGCUAACUAGUUAGCUCCGCUUCGGUCCGCUAUGUUAUGGCAUUUGAAGCGAGUUUUAUGUUAAUAAUAUAACGAGGGAGCUUGGCUGUCACAGUAAAAAG